Long non-coding RNA from Oreochromis niloticus (Nile tilapia), 616 nucleotides. RefSeq lists it as uncharacterized. The record is from RefSeq and is a predicted model, not a curated record. Lineage: Eukaryota; Metazoa; Chordata; Actinopteri; Cichliformes; Cichlidae. The transcript is spliced from 7 exons.
UGUAUCAGUUGUCUUGCGUUGUUGCAACCUCUCUGUUUUCUGGGAAGUUUAAAUGUGUCACCAAGAUGUUGUUUCCGGCUGAGGACAUUUGGUUGUGCCCACUGAACUUCGGUGCACACUGGAUCCUUGUGGUUGUCAAAAUCUCCACACGAUCUGUACUGCUGUUAGACCCUCUUGGAAAUGAAGGUUGUUAUGAAAGGAAAAUUAUGCGUAACUGGAGGAAUUUUCUGAAGAUGAAAGGAAAGGAAGAGUCCCGAGUGGAUUGGAAAAUGGAGACUGCCACACAACAAGCAGAUGGACUCCAGCAGUUGUGGAGUUUUAGUGUUGAAGUUUGCCGAACACUACCUUAUGAGUGGAGAGGUUACUAGGGUGCUGUCCACUCCAGAAGCCAUUGGGCUGCAACGCACAGAAAUUGCUUGCGAACUGCUAGAACAUCAAAGUAAUGCUGAUGACUACUGUGUGGUUUGUUCCAUGCUGGAAGCCGAUCCUGAGUCCAGUAUGAUUGAAAUGGUGCAGUGUGAGUUUUGUCUCAGAUGGGCACAUUUUGGAUGUGCUCAAUAUGAGAGCAGCCUGGUCAAGUACUUGUGCGACAAAUGUGCAUAAUUGUUAUGAAUAC